RNAcentral lists this ribosomal RNA (253 nucleotides) under uncultured bacterium. RNAcentral's name for it is "partial 16S ribosomal RNA". It matches the Rfam family "Bacterial small subunit ribosomal RNA", at positions 524 to 776 of the family's 1533-position model. The record is from RNAcentral.
UACGAAGGGGGCUAGCGUUGCUCGGAAUCACUGGGCGUAAAGCGCACGUAGGCGGGUCCUUAAGUUGGAGGUGAAAUCCCGGAGCUCAACUCCGGAACUGCCUUCAAUACUGAGGAUCUCGAGUUCGGGAGAGGUGAGUGGAACUGCGAGUGUAGAGGUGAAAUUCGUAGAUAUUCGCAAGAACACCAGUGGCGAAGGCGGCUCACUGGCCCGAUACUGACGCUGAGGUGCGAAAGCGUGGGGAGCAAACAGG